RNAcentral lists this ribosomal RNA (253 nucleotides) under uncultured bacterium. RNAcentral's name for it is "partial 16S ribosomal RNA". It matches the Rfam family "Bacterial small subunit ribosomal RNA", at positions 524 to 776 of the family's 1533-position model. The record is from RNAcentral.
GACGUAGGUGGCAAGCGUUGUCCGGAUUUACUGGGCGUAAAGCGUGCGCAGGCGGUGAUGUAAUACCGAUGUGAAAUCCCCGGGCUUAACCUGGGAACUGCAUUGGUGACUGCAUUGCUGGAGUAUGGCAGAGGGGGGUGGAAUUCCACGUGUAGCAGUGAAAUGCGUAGAGAUGUGGAGGAACACCGAUGGCGAAGGCAGCCCCCUGGGCCAAUACUGACGCUCAUGCACGAAAGCGUGGGGAGCAAACAGG